GUACUUGCUUUGGCGGCACAUUUAUUAAAAUUGGAACAAUACAGAGAAGAUUUGCAUGGCCCCUGUGCAAGUACGACACACAAAUUCAUGAAGUAUUACAUAUUUUA
This 107-nucleotide small nuclear RNA is filed under the name Sciurus vulgaris (Eurasian red squirrel). The record is from RNAcentral. Lineage: Eukaryota; Metazoa; Chordata; Mammalia; Rodentia; Sciuridae.